GUGUCAGCCGCCGCGGUAAUACGGAGGGGGCGAGCGUUAUUCGGAAUUAUUGGGCGUAAAGGGCGCGUAGGCGGCUCGACGUGUCCAAGGUGAAAUCCCUCGGCUCAACUGAGGAACUGCCUUGGAAACUGUCGAGCUUGAGGCCGGGAGGGGGUAGCGGAAUUCCCAGUGUAGCGGUGAAAUGCGUAGAUAUUGGGAGGAACACCAGUGGCGAAGGCGGCUACCUGGACCGGUUCUGACGCUGAUGCGCGAAAGCGUGGGUAGCAAACAGGAUUAGAAACCCUGGUAGUCC
Molecule: ribosomal RNA, 292 nt
Filed under: uncultured bacterium
Lineage: Bacteria
Description: partial 16S ribosomal RNA
Rfam family: Bacterial small subunit ribosomal RNA
Source: RNAcentral